Molecule: ribosomal RNA, 428 nt
Filed under: uncultured Chlamydiae bacterium
Lineage: Bacteria; Pseudomonadati; Chlamydiota; Chlamydiia
Description: bacterial SSU rRNA
Rfam family: Bacterial small subunit ribosomal RNA
Source: RNAcentral
AACGCGAAGAACCUUACCUGGGCUCGAAAUGUAGAGGAUGAUAUCAGAGAUGAUAUUUCUCGAAAGGGUCUCUAUAUAGGUGCUGCAUGGCUGUCGUCAGCUCGUGCCGUGAGGUGUUUGGUUAAGUCCAGCAACGAGCGCAACCCUUAUCGUUAGUUGCCAGCGCGUAAAGGCGGGAACUCUAACGAGACUGCCUGGGUUAACCAGGAGGAAGGUGAGGAUGACGUCAAGUCCGCAUGGCCUUUAUGUCCAGGGCAACACACGUGCUACAAUGGUCGGUACAGAAGGCAGCAAAACCGCGAGGUGAAGCAAAUCCUACAAAACCGAUCUCAGUUCAGAUUGGAGUCUGCAACUCGACUCCAUGAAGUUGGAAUUGCUAGUAAAGGCAAGUCAGCUACAUUGCCUUGAAUACGUUCCCGGGCCUUGUA